This 1409-nucleotide long non-coding RNA is filed under the name Homo sapiens (human). Its description in RNAcentral is "NPSR1 antisense RNA 1 (NPSR1-AS1)". Lineage: Eukaryota; Metazoa; Chordata; Mammalia; Primates; Hominidae. The record is from RNAcentral.
AGGACACAGAGAAGACCACUCCCACCUCCCCGAGUGCAAGGUGUGAAGGGACAGAUCUUUUAACCAUGCCUGCCCCCUUAUACUUGCUGUUCAUAGAAUUGCAACUGAAAGUGACCAUGAGGAUCCACUGGAUGGAGUUACUUCUUUCUUAAGUGAGGAGGCUAAGACCUGAGUUCUUCACAUCUCUCUGUAGAUAAAAUUUCCGGUCUGGUUUCACAUUCCUCUGUCAGAAGAACUUUCUUUAAUGUUUCUUAAAGUACAGGUCUGCUGCUUAUGUGAGAAGAAACGCAGGGAGACAGUUCAGUCACUGCAAUCUUCAUGCCCAUCAGUUUCUUGUGAGAAGAAAACAAGAGCUCCAAUCUGUUAGAUGGUAUUUUGAAGCAGGUCUUUGGGUAAAGGACACCUAGACCCAGUGAAGGUCAUGGUGAUUAUUAUUGGACAAUGGGACAUCACUCUGCUAUUAAGUGAGAAAAUGAGACAGGUUGCACUGAGGGCUGUUAGCCAGACAGAGUCUCGAACUGGAAGUCCAUCUAGAUGUUUUGCAUAAGAGAAUGGAAACAAUCUGUCUGUGAUUUAGGGACAUACUCUGGCAGCAAUAUGGGAAUACAGUUUCAAUCCUCAUUAACAAAACAGGUAUGAAAUACAUAUUUAUUUAGUAAGGUGCCAGCUGUAUGAAAAAUCCAUUUCUUAUUUCCCAUAAUGUUUCUGAAAUGUCUUAGCAGUGCAUAGAGACAGCAUGUCAUCAUUUUCUAGGGACUGUGUGUUAUUGCAUUUUUCCUAGGGAAGAUCUUUUCUAGGUCACCUGCUCCUUCACUAAAGCUCUGACCAAUCUAGCUUGCUAACCUGUGACUCCAUUUUCCUAAGUCCUGAGAGAGAAAAACGCUUUGCAGCAAAUUAUGCCAGGCAUCCUUGUGUCUAAAUGAAAAAAGGAAAAAGCCUCCUUCCUUCCCUCUGUUGAGAAGUGCACGGUCCACAUAUGCAUGCACAGCAUAUACUGUGAGGGUAUUUGCAGUCCCUUGGGUUGCUUUGAUAACUGGCCAGGUUGCUGUUCUAUUUUUCCACAUUCUAUUAAUCCUCCUACAGGCAGUUAUUAGGUAUUGAGUGCUCACACACCCCUGGCAUAGUCACCACAUGCCAUUAGCUCCAGAUAAACUUCCAGAAAAAAGUCCAUCCCCCACUUCUCUCAGCUGCCUGCCAACGCUGGACACCUUCUCACCAAGCCAGCAGGACAGAGAAAAGCCUGGGCUUUAAGAUCAAACAAACACAGCUUCAAAUUAGGACUCUGUCACUUCCUGUGUACUGGGCACUUUGCUGAGUAUGUGGUUUCUCAUCUGUAAAACAGAGAAAGAUGAUUAUCUCCCAAUCUUUCUAUGUUAUAUGUUUGAAUUAAAUAAGGUACUCUCCAUGAA